Long non-coding RNA from Oncorhynchus keta (chum salmon), 415 nucleotides. RefSeq lists it as uncharacterized. The transcript has 4 exons. The record is from RefSeq and is a predicted model, not a curated record. Lineage: Eukaryota; Metazoa; Chordata; Actinopteri; Salmoniformes; Salmonidae.
UAGAGAGAGAGAGAGAGAGGUAGAGAGAGAGGUAGAGAGAGAGGUAGAGAGAGAGGUAGAGAGAGAGGUAGAGAGAGAGGUAGAGAGAGAGAGGUAGAGAGAGAGGUAGAGAGAGAGGUAGAGAGAGAGAGGUAGAGAGAGAGGUAGAGAGAGAGGUAGAGAGAGAGAGGUAGAGAGAGAGGUAGAGAGAGAGGUAGAGAGAGAGAGAGAGGUAGAGAGAGAGAGAGGUAGAGAGAGAGAGGUAGAGAGAGAGGUAGAGAGAGAGGUAGAGAGAGAGGUAGAGAGAGAGAGAGAGGUAGAGAGAGAGGUAGAGAGAGAGGUAGAGAGAGAGAGGUAGAGAGAGAGGUAGAGAGAGAGGUAGAGAGAGGUAGAGAGAGAGGUAGAGAGAGAGGUAGAGAGAGAGGUAGAGAGAGAG